This 630-nucleotide ribosomal RNA is filed under the name uncultured archaeon. Its description in RNAcentral is "bacterial SSU rRNA". It matches the Rfam family "Archaeal small subunit ribosomal RNA", at positions 80 to 694 of the family's 1478-position model. The record is from RNAcentral.
CCCUUACGGCUCAGUAACACGUGGCCAACCUACCCUUGGGACAGGGACAACCCCGGGAAACUGAGGUUAAUCCCUGAUAGGUGAAAACUCCUGGAAUGGAUUUUCGCUUAAAGGGCAUUUAAACCAUGCUAUAGGUGUCGCCCAAGGAUGGGGCCGCGACCGAUCAGGUUGUUGGUGAGGUAACGGCUCACCAAGCCUAUAACCGGUACGGGCCGUGAGAGCGGAAGCCCGGAGAUGGGCACUGAGAUAAGGGCCCAGGCCCUACGGGGCGCAGCAGUUACGAAAACUCCCCAAUUCACGAAAGUGUGAGGGGGCUAUCCCGAGUGCCGUCCGCUGAGGAUGGCUUUUCCCCAUUGUAUAAAGCUGGGGGAAUAAGGAGAGGGCAAGACUGGUGUCAGCCGCCGCGGUAAUACCAGCUCUCCGAGUGGUGGGGACGUUUAUUGGGCCUAAAGCAUCCGUAGCCUGUUGGAAAAGUCCUCCGUUAAAUCCACCGAUUCAAUCGUUGGGCUGCGGGGGAUACUAUUCAACUAGGGAGCGGGAGAGGCUGACAGUAUUCUCGGGGUAGGGGUGAAAUCCUAUAAUCCCGAGAGGACCACCAGUGGCGAAGGCUGUUAGCUAGAACGCGUCCGA